Molecule: ribosomal RNA, 433 nt
Filed under: uncultured bacterium
Lineage: Bacteria
Description: partial 16S ribosomal RNA
Rfam family: Bacterial small subunit ribosomal RNA
Source: RNAcentral
AACGAACGCUGGCGGCAUGCCUAACACAUGCAAGUCGAACGAGACCUUCGGGUCUAGUGGCGCACGGGUGCGUAACGCGUGGGAACCUGCCCUUAGGUUCGGAAUAACUCAGAGAAAUUUGAGCUAAUACCGGAUAAUGUCUUCGGACCAAAGAUUUAUCGCCUUUGGAUGGGCCCGCGUAGGAUUAGCUUGUUGGUGGGGUAAUGGCCUACCAAGGCGACGAUCCUUAGCUGGUCUGAGAGGAUGAUCAGCCACACUGGGACUGAGACACGGCCCAGACUCCUACGGGAGGAAGCAGUGGGGAAUAUUGGACAAUGGGCGAAAGCCUGAUCCAGCAAUGCCGCGUGAGUGAUGAAGGCCUUAGGGUUGUAAAGCUCUUUUACCAGGGAUGAUAAUGACAGUACCUGGAGAAUAAGCUCCGGCUAACUCCGUG